This is an RNA transcript of Macaca mulatta (Rhesus monkey), 1322 nucleotides long. It is a transcript of the gene named chromobox protein homolog 1 pseudogene, with no coding region annotated. The record is from RefSeq and is a predicted model, not a curated record. NCBI's taxonomy places the organism in Eukaryota, Metazoa, Chordata, Mammalia, Primates, Cercopithecidae.
GGGCCUGCGGUACGCCGCUUCAGUGAGGGGCUCCACUGCGGCCACCCGGCUUGCUGCCUUCCUGGGCGCCACUCCCCCACUCGACCCGACGCGACGCGCCAGUAGCGCAGCAUCGAUUCCUCUCGGGCUCUUGGGCGCUGCUCUGAGCAGCGUCACCCUUUACACCAGAAAGCUGGCGGGCACUAUGGGGAAAAAACAAAACAAGAAGAAAGUGGAGGAGGUGCUAGAAGAGGAGGAAGAGGAAUAUGUGGUGGAAAAAGUUCUCGACCGUCGAGUGGUAAAGGGCAAAGUGGAGUACCUCCUAAAGUGGAAGGGGUUCUCAGAUGAGGACAACACAUGGGAGCCAGAAGAAAACCUGGAUUGCCCCGACCUCAUUGCUGAGUUUCUGCAGUCACAGAAAACAGCACAUGAGACAGAUAAAUCAGAGGGAGGCAAGCGCAAAGCUGAUUCUGAUUCUGAAGAUAAGGGAGAGGAGAGCAAACCAAAGAAGAAGAAAGAAGAGUCAGAAAAGCCACGAGGCUUUGCUCGAGGUUUGGAGCCGGAGCAGAUUAUUGGAGCUACAGACUCCAGUGGAGAGCUCAUGUUCCUGAUGAAAUGGAAAAACUCUGAUGAGGCUGACCUGGUCCCUGCCAAGGAAGCCAAUGUCAAGUGCCCACAGGUUGUCAUAUCCUUCUAUGAGGAAAGGCUGACGUGGCAUUCCCACCCCUCGGAGGAUGAUGACAAAAAAGAUGACGAGAAUUAACGCUCCUGAGUACCAGCCCCUGUCACAUCUGACUGGGUUUCAGGUGGGAAGGGAAGGAGUUCUACUUGUCUUGACACCAUAGAGGUGGCUUGAGAAGAUGUCCUUUGAAGAGCCAGUAUAGUUUCUGUGCCCUGCAGCAGCCCAAGUGCUUUAAAGCCAUUUCAAGCUGUAUAGUUUGCACACCCAUCCCAGUGGAGGGGAAAGGGGAUAAGUGUUUCAAGGCAAUCUUUUCUGCACUUUGCUGAGAAAAGCAAAAGGCCUUCUAUGAAGGACAAAACUUGCAGAAUUGGGUGUGUGGGAGAGCAAAAAAAAUACUGUAGAUCUUCAAAGAGCAUCUCCACAACCCACAGCCUUCUUCCCAAUAGUGUUAACUCUGCAUUUUUACAGCGUAGCAUGUGUGUAGUCUUUGGCUAUUACUGGUGUAUUAUUUGGGGGAGGGAUGGGGAGGGGAGAAAGGGAGAUGGGUAGCAUCACUUUGAUUAACAUUUGGGGCCUGAUAGGGGAAAUGGUGAAGCAAUGGAAAAGAACAGACAACUAAUGGUUUGCUUCUAUGUCCAGAAUAUUUUACCUUAAAAAAAAA